GCCGUCGUAGCUCAGUAGGUAGAGCGUGUGACUGUUAAUCACAAGGUCAUCGGUUCGAUCCCGAUCGACGGCGCCA
Molecule: transfer RNA, 76 nt
Filed under: Methanomassiliicoccales archaeon
Lineage: Archaea; Methanobacteriati; Thermoplasmatota; Thermoplasmata; Methanomassiliicoccales
Description: tRNA-Asn
Rfam family: tRNA
About the family: Transfer RNA (tRNA) molecules are approximately 80 nucleotides in length.
Source: RNAcentral